GACAGAGGAUGCAAGCGUUAUCCGGAAUUAUUGGGCGUAAAGCGUCUGUAGGUGGUUUAUUAAGUCUACUGUUAAAGAUCAGGGCUUAACCCUGAGCAGGCAAUAGAAACUAAUAAGCUAGAGUACGGUAGGGGCAGAGGGAAUUCCCGGUGUAGCGGUGAAAUGCGUAGAGAUCGGGAAGAACACCAACGGCGAAAGCACUCUGCUGGGCCGAAACUGACACUGAGAGACGAAAGCUAGGGGAGCAAAUGGG
RNAcentral lists this ribosomal RNA (253 nucleotides) under uncultured bacterium. RNAcentral's name for it is "partial 16S ribosomal RNA". It matches the Rfam family "Bacterial small subunit ribosomal RNA", at positions 524 to 776 of the family's 1533-position model. The record is from RNAcentral.